Molecule: unclassified non-coding RNA, 5035 nt
Filed under: Ceratitis capitata (Mediterranean fruit fly)
Lineage: Eukaryota; Metazoa; Arthropoda; Insecta; Diptera; Tephritidae
Description: g-protein coupled receptor Mth2, transcript variant X3
Source: RNAcentral
AAGAGGUCCUUCCCAAUUUUGAGUGCGCUUCUGGUGUUGUCUAACCUCAGUUUACACAUCCAUAUAAGUUUUACGGGGAUACUAAAUUCAGACUUAACGGCGUAGAGUCAGCUUCUUUUUGCAAUAUCCGAUUGGUUCGACAAACAUCCAAAAUUUAAGAAUAUCAAUUUUUCCAAUUGCGGUGCACCUCGCCAGGAACCGUCACACACUUCGAGUGUAUAUCUGCCAUGAACUGUGAACUGUAAGAUUGAGUAUUUUCAAAAAAGUCUGUGGUUGCAGAGAAUCUCUUUGGUUAAGAAAGAAUGGAGGAGGUGGAGUAGGUGCUACGUGAAGGCUAUCGCCUGGCCUCAACAUAAGUGUCAUACAUCAGACAAUUCAUUCUUACUCUAUUGUGCUUUGGGCAGUUGCACCGCGCCAAGCAAAAUUUAAAACAUGGACUCUCCAUAAAGGGAGCGCGAAGAACUAUUCCAUUUGGCUGGACUCGGAAGAUUACUCAACCCAAAUCCAUACGACAUUGUAGCGGGGUCCGCUGUGAGAUAAAUGGUGUCAGGUGAACUUUCUGCAAGAACCCUCAUACCCCAUUCGCAUGGGAGGAGUGGACAACAGAAAAGCUACUGCAUACCUUUUGACUUCCAGGGCCUUAGUGUAUCACCAGUUUAGUACGCGAAAUGUGAAAGUUGCGAAAUGUUCGAUGAAAUGUAGUUUAUAUGAGGGCGGAAUGUUAAGUAAUACGGACUGCCUUAAUGACAUGCGCGACCGCUAAAUUCUAUUCAGCAUUCAUUAGGGUUAAUCACUCAAUUCUCAUCCACAAACUAGUACUUCUUGGGUUUCAAGCAAGAUUUUCCUAUGGGUUUCCACGUUUCUCUGUAAUAGAAUGACAGACACUUAAUUAUCGUCUCAUCAGGAACCUCUCUCUCAAGGUACUCAUAUCGGUCUGUUUCUCUUUCAGUUCUUUAUAAAUGAUAUAUCUGCCGUAGCUUCUUAUAUGCCAAUGAUGUAAAAGUUUUUAUAUCAUAUACCUCAUUCGACGAAUUGUUUUUAUUACAAAACGAUCUAGACAUAGCAAGAACAUGCCAUUGAACCUUCAGAAAUGUAAAAAGGAUGUGGUUUUCUGCCCUGUUCACACUUCUCCUUAUACAAUGAAUAAGUUCGAGUAGAGUCUAGAACAAGUGUACGACUUUGUUGUGCUUUGUGAUGGAACCUGAGCUCAACUUCCAUCUUUAUACCAAUACCACAGUCUUUAAAGCCAAAGAUGUCAAAAGAUUGUCAAAAGAAUUUAAAGACCCUUUUGUAACUAAGGCACUUUAUACGACUUUGGUGAGGCCAACACUAGAAUAUGGUUCACUGAUAUAAUACCCCAAUUAUCAACUUCAUUCCGAUAGGUUAGAGUCUGUUCAAAAACAAUUUUUACUUUUUGCAUUGAGACACUUCCGAUGGAACUUCGGCUCCCUAUACCGACCGUUUAAAGCUGCUAAAACUCCCUACCCUCGCAAGUCGAAGAGAAAUGUGAGGCCCACAGUUCGUAGUGAAAUUUCCUAACGGAUCAAUUUGUAGUUCAUGGGCCUUGUCUGAGGUAAAGUUCAAUGUUCCAACUCGUGUAUCGAGGCAGUUUAUGAAUUGAAUCAACCCUUUCGCCGAAUAUGUCACAAUUUUAAUUGCCAUUCUAACACCUUCGACAUCUCAGACUCACUUUUGAACAUCAAAAAAACUUCUCUCAACAACUAAAUUUCGAAAUUCUUUAAUUACUGAACUUUAGCUGUUGAAUAUUAACUGGGCUUAUUCCGUUUUUUAUGUGGUUGUCGCCUCUCGUAUCAGUUGGAUGGGCGCUCUACUGCUUUUGCGAACAUAAAUUUUUGCUUUGCAGAUUCGAGCUCCAGAAGGAUGAUCUUUGAAUUCGUUAGAUAAACUUGUAGUUCCAAUCUAUGAGUUUAUUCGCCAGCCUGGAAUUGAUAAAGAAAUUGGAAACUUGGCAGCAAAGGAAAAAGAAAAAGGAAUAAUAAUUAUGAUAAUUCAAAGACGUGAAUUAAGAAAAAAACUGAGACCUUGUAGAACCAGCUCUUGAGUUGGUUUCAUCAAGCGUGAAAUUGGAAUACGCACUACCAAUGAUGGCAACACAUAUUUUCCUGUUGUACCUCGGAACGUUAUGGUCCCUAUUCUCCGACUCUAAAGCAGAUAUACCCAACUGCGCCUUCGAGGACACCGUCAACUUAACUGCGCGCGAAAAAUUUACCAACGGUUCAUACAUCUACGAAGGUUUAUUGGUGCCACCGCAAUACAUCGGUGAAUAUGACUACAUCGAACUCUUCGAAGGUGCGCGCCAGAAGGUGGAGAAACACACACGGGGCUGUGUUUGUAAGCUGAAGCAGUGUGUAAGGUUCUGCUGCCAUCCUAGAGCGGAUAUGUUUCAGAGCAGCGAACACGCUUCACCACAAUGCGACAAUGAGCAACUCAGUGACGAACCCAAAUAUACGCCAUUUGUUAAUGUGACAUUGCGUAACAAUUCGCGGGUUUCAAUGCAUUUACUGGAGGAAUUUGUGGUGCAACAGGGAACACCAUGCGCGGAUGUAUAUCCGUUGAUGCCGCAUGUGUACGAAGAGGAUAAGUGGGAGUUGUUCGAGAAUGGCACUUUACUGCGUGACAGGGAUUACCUUUCUAGACGUGAUUAUUGCUUCCAAGCGUAUAAUUUUAGCGGAGAGUUUGUCUUGAACCCCAUGAACUGUCCGAGUAUGUAUAGCGAGCCACCAACCAUGAUGCUCAAUACGAAAAUUAUGAUGAUUUCAGCACCAUUUCUAUUUGCGACUAUACUGAUCUAUUGGCUCAUACCGGAACUGUGGAACUUACAUACCAAAUGCUUAAUCAGCUAUCUGCUUUCCUUGGCUGUUGGCACCUCUAUGAUUGUAGUUGUCAAUGUGCAAAACUCCGAUUUCGAGGAUCUUAAUUGUUCUAUCAUAGGCUUCAUCACAUAUUUCUUUUUGACCGCUGUCUUCUUCUGGCUUAACGUGAUCUGUUUCGAUCUUUGGCAUAAUUUCCGUCGCGCCAAAGGUGGCGCCCAACAUUUGUCCCAACGCAAACGAUUCCUCUGCUACUCCCUCUACGCCUGGGGUUUGCCGACCAUAAUGACCAUUGUGACCGCAUCUCUACAAAACUCAAAACUACCGCACGCACUCAAGUCGGGCAUUGGAGACACACAUUGCUGGUUGAAGGUUGAUGACUGGUCUGCUUUGCUUUAUUUUUAUGGACCCUGCUUACUGCUUAUCAUAUUUAAUAUUUCCAUAUUUGUACUGACCGCCAAGAAGAUUUAUAGCAUUCGCAAGGAGCUGCAGCAUUUCUCACGCGGCGAGGACAGCCGUCGUCAUUUGCACUCGCACCAAAAUAAUGUCUGGCUCUUCUUUCGCAUGUUCAUUGUCAUGGGUGUCGGUUGGCUACUGGAGAUAAUCAGCUAUAUGUUUGGUAAUUACAAUAAAUUGGCAUUUUUCUUUGCCGCCACAGACGUUUACAAUGCCUCGCAGGGUAUAAUCAUUUUCAUUUUGUUGGUUAUGAAGAAAAAGGUGUUGUUGCUGAUAAAGAAAAGACUGUGCAAAACGGACAAGAAACAGCAGUUUUCUAGUAGACGAUAUGCCAAGUCCAGUACAUCGGCAGUGGAAUUAUUUGAUUCCUUUCUGCUGCACUUUCCAUUCCCACACCCUUUGAACAUAUUUCGAGCCCCGGUGAAGUAGAUCGAUUGCGAGAAGCUCAUCCACCGGAGAGAAGGCCAGUACUCAACCACGGAUUCUCUCCUUCACCAGGAAUGCAACACCAGAUUUGUCGCACUUGUUGGACACCGAUGAUGUCAGCCUUAAUUCUAUUGAGAACCAGCACCAGCUGGACAGUGGGACCUUUCUUCGAAUCGAGAUGGCUUAUACAUUUGCAUUGGCCGUCAUCGAAAGGGGGAUUUCUCUCAUCCGAGGCUUUUUGCAUUUUUUCAUUGGAGUCUAUAUUUCAUGUGGUGGCUCAUAUACCCUACGCGCAACCGCACGGCUUUUGCCUUCUCACUUCAGCUCGCAUCCAAAUGUAUGAGAACACUUGGUCUAGGAACGGAAGUCGUGAGCUGAUUGAACUCCCAGGUGGAUGGCAGUAAAAAUCUUUCCAGAUGGCCACAUCCUUCUCUAAGAAUGUCCAAUGCUGAAUAUCGUUGGAAACCUCGGAACUAAGGAUCUUCAGGAUAUAUAUAUUCAUAAUAUAUACAUAUAUAUUUAUAGCAAUUGAGCAUUGACAUAAUUACGUUAUUAUCAUCAGCCAACUCGUAGUUUCAAAAUGUUAGGUCUAGUAAAAAAUAGUCCAUUAUUUUUGUAUACAAUAAUUAUUAUUAUUCCGAUUUAUAUCAAAUAUGAAACGUUUUGCCAUUUGGAAGGUAAUGCCAUUAUGCCUCUCUCAUAGAAACCCUUGUCCCUAUUGGAAAACAAAUUGGAACAAUCGAUUUCUAUAUACUUCAAUUGGGUCCAAAUUUUCAUCAGUCUAAUCAAUCCCAAUCGAAAGAAGUAGAUGUUCAUCACCUGGUACGAAGUACACGUACGGACUAUGCGGUUGAUGCAUAAGAAUUCCCCAGGUAUAGUCUUGAGCCUUCUGGCAAGUCACUAUCGAUGUAUAUGGUCCGGCGUUGUCCUGAUGAAAAAUAAUUUCCCUUCCGUUGGCCAAAGCUAGGCGCUGCUCAUAGUGCAGUUCCAAAUUUGGGCGUAAGGAAGCAAUUUAUACUUAAUGAUUCCUUGCAAAUCCCAUCGGAAGCAGAACAAAAUCCAGCGGACCAUCAAUCAUGAUCGCGAGAUUCAGAUCACUAAAGCCAUCUAUUGCAAAAAUAGUGGAUUACUUUUUACUAGACUAAUAUAUUGUAUUUGCUGUACUUCUCAACACAAACUUAAAAUCAUAUUUAAGCGGUUUUGUCGCUUAGUAUUCUAUAAACCAAAUAGUAUUUUAAGAAAAAACAUCGAACUUAAAGACUGUACCCAGUAUGUGCCAUAUUAGUAUGUAGCCAAAUAAUGAUUCAAAAAUACAAUCCAUA